Molecule: unclassified non-coding RNA, 234 nt
Filed under: uncultured Lactarius
Lineage: Eukaryota; Fungi; Basidiomycota; Agaricomycetes; Russulales; Russulaceae
Description: sequence contains ITS2
Source: RNAcentral
AAAUCUCAACCUCCUCGGUUUCUUCUGGACCCCGAAGGAGGCUUGGACUUUGGAGGGCUUUGCUGGACUUGAAACGUCAGCUCCUCUCAAAUGAAUUAGCGAGGUCCCCUUUGCCGAUCCUCGACGUGUGAUAAGACGCUUCCACGUCUCGGUCUUUGGCUCUGUCGCCUCUUGGGACCUGCUUCCAAUCGUCUCUUGAUGAGACAACGUUCGAGCACGCCUCGACCCACGUAC